RNAcentral lists this small nuclear RNA (23 nucleotides) under Arabidopsis thaliana (thale cress). RNAcentral describes it as "snRNA_17322". Lineage: Eukaryota; Viridiplantae; Streptophyta; Magnoliopsida; Brassicales; Brassicaceae. The record is from RNAcentral.
UCAGGAACUACUUGCGAUAGCAA